CUUUACAGCCAUGCUACCCUGAACAAGCCCAAUCCCGUCUGAUCUCGGAAGUUAAGCAGAGUUGGGCCUGGUUAGUACUUGGAUGAGAGACCAUCUAGGAAGACCAGGUGCUGUAGGCA
Molecule: ribosomal RNA, 119 nt
Filed under: Pteropus alecto (black flying fox)
Lineage: Eukaryota; Metazoa; Chordata; Mammalia; Chiroptera; Pteropodidae
Source: RNAcentral